This 733-nucleotide ribosomal RNA is filed under the name Aphelenchoides sp. Asp6753. RNAcentral's name for it is "partial large subunit ribosomal RNA". It matches the Rfam family "Eukaryotic large subunit ribosomal RNA", at positions 366 to 944 of the family's 3401-position model. The record is from RNAcentral. Lineage: Eukaryota; Metazoa; Nematoda; Chromadorea; Rhabditida; Aphelenchoididae.
AAAAAGCACUUUGAAAAGAGAGUGCAAGAGAACGUGAAACCGUUAUAGUGGAAACGGAUAGAGUUGACGUAUCUAGUGCGUAUUCAGCUGCUGUUUGUGUGAAUAUUUUUAUUGAAUUUCCUUAUAAGUGUUCAAUAGAUUCGUUUUGCGCAUUCAACAGUGCAUUUGCGUACAGAGUGCGCCGAAUCAACUGAGCUUGCUAUUUGAAGCGUGUAGAGAGGACUAACUUGUUAGAAACUUUUACAUUUGGAUGAUAGAUGAGUUUAGUUGUUGCUUUUGAGCUGGUUUUUCGUGAUUAGCUGCUUUGGCUUGAGUAGUUUUUGUACGAUGCAUGCGUUUUGCAUUUAUUGCUUUUGCUGUUGCAGUUGAUUGCUCGGCUUUGAAUUCGGUGUUCAGUCAAUCACCUAUCUGACCCGUCUUGAAACACGGACCAAGGAGUUUAAGGUGUACGCAAGUCAUUGGCUGUUAAAAGUCAUAGGCGUAAUGAAAGUGGGACAUUUAAUGUCUGUGAUGUGAUUUUUGUUUGUUUCGAUGAGCUGAAAGCAACAUCGACCCAUGACUAGGAUUUAUUCUGUUGUGGAGUCUGAGCGUACGCUUUGAGACCCGAAAGAUGGUGAACUAUGCCCGAACAGGACGAAGUCAGAGGAAACUCUGAUGGAAGUCCGAAGCGGUUCUGACGUGCAAAUCGAUCGUCUGAUUUGGGGUAUAGGGGCGCAAGACUAAUCGAACCAUC